AUUGAACGCUGGCAGCAUGCCUUACACAUGCAAGUCGAACGGCAGCACGGGUGCUUGCACCUGGUGGCGAGUGGCGAACGGGUGAGUAAUACAUCGGAACAUGUCCUGUAGUGGGGAUAGCCCGGCGAAAGCCGGAUUAAUACCGCAUACGAUCUACGGAUGAAAGCGGGGGACCUUCGGGCCUCGCGCUAUAGGGUUGGCCGAUGGCUGAUUAGCUGGUUGGUGGGGUAAAGGCCUACCAAGGCGACGAUCAGUAGCUGGUCUGAGAGGACGACCAGCCACACUGGGACUGAGACACGGCCCAGACUCCUACGGGAGGCAGCAGUGGGGAAUUUUGGACAAUGGGCGAAAGCCUGAUCCAGCAAUGCCGCGUGUGUGAAAAAGGCCUUCGGGUUGUAAAGCACUUUUGUCCGGAAA
RNAcentral lists this ribosomal RNA (417 nucleotides) under Burkholderia cepacia. RNAcentral describes it as "bacterial SSU rRNA". It matches the Rfam family "Bacterial small subunit ribosomal RNA", at positions 30 to 446 of the family's 1533-position model. The record is from RNAcentral. Lineage: Bacteria; Pseudomonadati; Pseudomonadota; Betaproteobacteria; Burkholderiales; Burkholderiaceae.